AGGACGAACGCUGGCGGCGUGCUUAACACAUGCAAGUCGAACGAGGCGCUUGCGCCUAGUGGCGAACGGGUGAGUAACACGUGAGCAACCUGCCCUUGGCUCUGGGAUAGCCUCCGGAAACGGGGAUUAAUACCGGACAUGACCUUCUCCUGCAUGGGGGAGGGUGGAAAGUUUUUCGGCCAGGGAGGGCUCGCGGCCUAUCAGCUUGUUGGGGGGUAACGGCCCACCAAGGCGACGACGGGUAG
Molecule: ribosomal RNA, 245 nt
Filed under: uncultured bacterium
Lineage: Bacteria
Description: partial small subunit ribosomal RNA
Rfam family: Bacterial small subunit ribosomal RNA
Source: RNAcentral